Molecule: small nuclear RNA, 277 nt
Filed under: Sorex araneus (European shrew)
Lineage: Eukaryota; Metazoa; Chordata; Mammalia; Eulipotyphla; Soricidae
Description: 7SK RNA (ENSSARG00000018383.1)
Rfam family: 7SK RNA
About the family: 7SK was discovered as an abundant small nuclear RNA in the mid-70s but a possible function has only recently been suggested. Two independent studies have found that 7SK RNA binds the CDK9/cyclin T complex (known as elongation factor P-TEFb). P-TEFb activates transcription by phosphorylating the C-terminal domain of RNA polymerase II.
Source: RNAcentral
AGAUGUGAGGGUGAUCUGGCUGCAACAUUUGUCACCCCAUUGAUCAUCAGGGUUGAUUCGAUUGAUCUGGCUGGCAAGGUGGGUGUCCCCUUCCUCCCUCACCACUCCAUGUGCGUCCCUCCAGAAGCUGCACGCUAGGUCGAAGAGGACGGCUUCCCCAAAUAGAGACAGACCGGUCUUCGGUUGAGGUAUACCAGUAGCUGAUCUCCCCUGCUAGAACCUCCAAACAAGCUCUAAUUCUUAAGAUUAAAAAAAAAAUUUUUUUUUUUAAUCAUUG